GACGAACGCUGGCGGCGUGCUUAACACAUGCAAGUCGAACGGUGAACUCCGCUUGCGGGGGGUCCGUUGCGGAAGGGGGGAGUAAAACUUGGCCAACUUCCCCUCGGCCCUGGGUAAACCCCAGGAAAUUGGGCUAAAUACCGGAAACGCCCCUUACCCCAAGGGUCUGUGGGGGGAAAGUUUAUCGGCUUGGGAUUGGCCCGGGGCCUAUCAGCUUGUUGGUGGGGUAGUGGCCUACCAAGGCGACGACGGGUAGCCGGCCUGAGAGGGUGACCGGCCACACUGGGACUGAGACACGGCCCAGACUCCUACGGGAGGCAGCAGUGGGGAAUAUUGCGCAAUGGGCGAAAGCCUGACGCAGCGACGCCGCGUGGGGGAUGACGGCCUUCGGGUUGUAAACCUCUUUCAGCAGGGACGAAGCGAAAGUGACGGUACCUGCAGAAGAAGCACCGGCCAACUACGUG
This 464-nucleotide ribosomal RNA is filed under the name uncultured bacterium. RNAcentral describes it as "partial 16S ribosomal RNA". It matches the Rfam family "Bacterial small subunit ribosomal RNA", at positions 28 to 507 of the family's 1533-position model. The record is from RNAcentral.